This is a long non-coding RNA of Sorghum bicolor (sorghum), 329 nucleotides long. RefSeq lists it as uncharacterized. The record is from RefSeq and is a predicted model, not a curated record. The transcript is spliced from 3 exons. NCBI's taxonomy places the organism in Eukaryota, Viridiplantae, Streptophyta, Magnoliopsida, Poales, Poaceae.
CGAGCUCGAGGUGCUUUGUUCUUGCUUGUUCUUCCAUUGUUCUUGCUUGUUAGUGCUCUCAUCUCCCACGAUCGAUCCAUUUCAACGCUUCUACGCCGUCGUCGAUUUGUUUGAAAGAUAAUGGCACGCCAUUGGAUGUACAAUGCUGAGAAGAAAGAAUACAUGUGUGAGACUCAAUGAAAAAAGACGUGGCACUCUAUCAAGACAUAAUAGACAUGAUCCAGAGGGCUUUUGCUUGGCUACAACAAAAAUAUCGUACGGAUCUGAAUGUCUCACUUCCUCCUCCAGUUCUACUCCCUUGGGUGCCCACGCAGCCGUUUGGAACGAAU